This 514-nucleotide ribosomal RNA is filed under the name uncultured bacterium. RNAcentral describes it as "bacterial SSU rRNA". It matches the Rfam family "Bacterial small subunit ribosomal RNA", at positions 1 to 488 of the family's 1533-position model. The record is from RNAcentral.
UUAUGAGAGUUUGAUCCUGGCUCAGGACGAACGCUGGCGGCGUGCCUAAUACAUGCAAGUCGAACGCCUCUUUUUCCACCGGAGCUUGCUCCAUCGGAAAAAGAGGAGUGGCGAACGGGUGAGUAACACGUGGGUAACCUGCCCAUCAGAAGGGGAUAACACUUGGAAACAGGUGCUAAUACCGUAUAACAAUCGAAACCGCAUGGUUUCGAUUUGAAAGGCGCUUUCGGGUGUCGCUGAUGGAUGGACCCGCGGUGCAUUAGCUAGUUGGUGAGGUAACGGCUCACCAAGGCGACGAUGCAUAGCCGACCUGAGAGGGUGAUUGGCCACAUUGGGACUGAGACACGGCCCAAACUCCUACGGGAGGCAGCAGUAGGGAAUCUUCGGCAAUGGACGAAAGUCUGACCGAGCAACGCCGCGUGAGUGAAGAAGGUUUUCGGAUCGUAAAACUCUGUUGUUAGAGAAGAACAAGGAUGAGAGUAACUGUUCAUCCCUUGACGGUAUCUAACCAGAA